AGCACAGGAAGAAAAACGGUGGACAGGAGCAAACGGCACAUCACUGCCUCCAUUUAAGUUCAGGGAAAAGAUGGAUUUUUACAACCAUUUUCUUAAAGAAGUGCUGAAAAGGUAGAUACUGUAUAAGCCUCAUAUUCCUGCAUGUAUCCUACAUCUGUCCUGUCUAUACAGAGCCAUUGCAAAUCUCCAUUUUAUUUUUUUAUUUUUAAACAACUCUGCUUUAGUGCUUUAGCAGAUUCAGAACUCAAUUUACCACUAUCCCUCUUAAGUAAAAAAAAAAAGACUAAUUAUUCUUAUAAAGUUUUCUUUGAUUGAGCCACAGUGCAAUGUUAUUUCAGUUUAUUUAAAAAAUAAUUGAAAAUCCAACAAUAGUCUUUGCAUGCGUUGAUAUAGCAGUACAGUAUUUCCAAUGUGUGCAGAAACAGUACAAAUUGUUAGUUUGUGUUUAACAAUGCCACAGAAUUGUUGUUACUGUAAGUAACAGCUAUAAUAAAGAUGCUGCAUUUACAGUAAUGUGUAAUGAUUAGGAGGUGGUCUUGGUGCUGUGAAUCUCAAAGCCAAGAUUGGAGAGCGACACCCAGUGGCCACCUGUAAAACUCUUUGCCACACCAAAGCUUCAUAGGGAUCUGUGAAUUUUUACAGCCUCGUACCUGACGGCACAAUCACAGUGUAAUCCCAUCUGUCAAGCCAGAAUGAUAGUUAAAAGAUGCAUAAAUAUAUAAGAGAGAUAAGUUUCAAAGUCUGAUCAGCCCAGCGCCGGCCCUUGCAAAACCGUCUGUGUCCUCAUGUGUUCAUAAUUUAGUCAUGCUGGGAUCCUUUUUGCUCAUUCCUUUCAUUUGCCAGCUAUUUUCAUCACUACCACCCUGACGCAACAGCGCAGCAUCCAUCUCGUCAGUUAUUACCAUCAGGAGUAACACAUAAAUCGAAAUCGAUGCAGUCGAAUUCCUUGCUUUGAUCUAUUAUUUCUAACCUUAACUCGAGCGCACAUCACUUAAGAUCAUUUAUGCAUGUUGCAUGUGAGAAGAAUCUUAACUUUUUUUGCUGAAAGUACAAGUGGUAUAUAGAAGAUCAGCCUGCCACACUGUUUGUAUCCGUGAAUGUAAAUGACCUUGGAAUAAUAGUUACACAGCUGUUCAAACAGAAGGGGGGGAAAGAAACAGAUCAGUGCAUCAUGUCUGUUUGAGGUUUGUAAUAGUGCACUGACUAAUAAUCUAAUAAAGGUUUAUGAUAAAUAAUUUUACAUUACAAAAAUAGUGUUUCAAAUAAGAUAGGCUCAAAACAAACCAAGGACAUUGCAGUCUGUUUCUGGCAGCAUUUUGGUUUUCAGUAAAGGAAGAAACCAGCAAAAAGGCAGCUUAACAGAAAAAGACUGUGUGCAAGAAGAGACAGGGCAACUUGCUUUAGAGUAAACAACACAUCACAUGUUUUAGGAAUAUUAAAAUUGCAGCUUUGUUUCUCUUUGCAGUGCUUAUUUAGAACCCUGCCUGGUUUCACAUUCUGUAAACUUUAUUUUUCAACGUGUGAAACAGAACUUUCAGAAAUUUGUUUUAAAAAUUGCAUUCAUAAAAGCUGACUUUUAGAUUUUGCUUCAAAUAUUGUGAAUCUUACGCCGUAUCAUUUCAUUCCCAACAGACAGAAUGAAGGUCAAAACAAUGUCACAGACAUGUCUGUUGGCCAAUAAAGACAAAAUCUUACAACAAAUGGGAGACAGCAGUGUACCUGUGCAUGUAUCUAUGAUCCUUUAAAUAUUUUAUGAGAUAUUCAUGAGUUUAGGUUAAAUAAACAAUACAAAAUCUUUUUUUUUGUUUUGUUUUAAAGAGAAACAAGUACAAGGUUUCAGAUGUUAACCCUGGAGUGGUACUGGGAGCAUAGCUGCAUCGGCACAGUGCUUGUACCUUUGAGACUGUUAUUCUACUGCUAUUCUAUUUUUUUUCCUAUCAUUUCAGUAAGUGAAUAUGAUAUAGCAAUUUGAAGAAAAGUCUAGUAUAAAUAUUUGUCUUCACAUAUCUCAUCUUUAAUAGGUUAUCCCAGUUUGCUUUUACUUUAUCUUUCCUUUUUCCAUCUAGAUAGAUUUUUGCAUCAAAAACAUAAGCUUUUUUCCCUUUUUAUCAGCUUAAAUGUUUUUCAGCUCUUUCUUUGUGUCUCUUUCUUGCCUCUAUAUAUCUUUUUCCUUCUGUCUUGUAAGCCCAUCAUUUCAAUAAGCCUUAUAUAUAACACUCAGUUCCACAUCUAUAGUCUACAGUCUUAAGUUUGAUCAUACAAUAAAAUGCAGGUGUACUGCACCAUAAAACACAGUGACACAGUUGCAGGCUGUUGAAAUUGUUGCAAUUUCUUAUAACCCUUUCUCUAUAGAGGAAUGUACAGUUUCAUGCCAUAUUUGAUUUGCAAUGACAAAGUGAAAUAAAAUCUUUAGAUUUUUUUUUGCUUUUCCAUUUCUGUCUGCUUGUAUCUUACUUUUGCAUACCCCCCUCCCUCUCUGACCUUCCAACCAUGAAGAAACCUAGAAGCCAUACCUCCUCUCAGGCACAGUGGAAGCCAUCUGACACGCUCCAUUACGUUGUGCUUGUUCCAAUUAAAGCUGACACCAUUUGCUGUCAAGAGCAUGGUGAUACCCUGCAGAAAGGUAACCCCACCCCUGCAACACCCACUGCCCAGGGGGUUUAAGUGUUUCUAGAUGUAUAUUAUGUUGUUACAAGAAGAUCUAUACUGUCAGGUGGCGAUCCAAAGGUUGGACCUCCAAAGCACUCCCCCUGUGGGUAGAUGUGUGCUCGGCAUAUGUGUUCACUAAUUAGGUUUUAGACCAAAAUACAAACCUAAUUUCAUACAAAAUGAAUUGCUACUUUAAAAUCUUGCAGGUUCAAAAUGCAUGCUGAGCUGCCUUAUUGAAAUUAAUUAUAAGAAUUUCAUCCCAAAAUAAAGGUCACUAUCAAGAAAAUUAACCAUUCGAGGGAUCUGACUUCUCAGUGGUAAACUGUAAAUGUAUUUAAAGCCAGACAUCUCUCCCAAUCUGGAAUGGCCAGUGCCAUUUGUGCUGAUCCUUCACUGGCUUCCCACUCACAAAAUACAAGUUCAACAUGAUGUUCUACAAAUUGAAGAUUGAUUGAAAAAGACAUGGAAAUAAUAAAUAAAGAAAAAUCCUUCAGACAAAACAACUGUGGAUGAAUAAUAUACAGUGGGAAGCAAUCAGACAAAAGGUCCACUUUCUUUCGUUUAACUCUAACAUAAACAUCACAAGACAUCAAGAAAAGGAUAUUGGGUCAUGUCUGAGGCUGUGGCACUAGAAGGAACUGCAUAGAAGCUUUAAAUGUUUUAGCCAAUGCAAAACAUGUGAUAUAUCCUUCAUACCUAUGUAUGUAAAUGAUUAACAAGACCUGACUUGACUGCAACGCUUUACUGAAUUCAUGCUGUACACAAAUUGUUUGUACACAUUUUUUUGGAAUAUUAGAGACAAUUCAUCACUUUUUUUCUCGCCACGUGGGGGAAGACUAAUGUGUAGGCCUGAAACAGAAGACUGACCAAAAAGAAUCUGUUUGGCUCUUAAAGCAAUGAGGCUGAGCAAAGGUUCAUCAGCCUUUGGCUAAAAAUAAAAACCCUGAGCCAGCAGGCUAGACAGUCAGCCUCUGUGUUCCAUCUUUAGAUAAACUAUUAACCAAAUAUAAUACAUGUUGUACUUCAUGUCAUAUUACCUGUAUCAACAUUUAGACGUUCACUGUAUUUUGUAAUGUUUUUCAGAGAGGCUACUUUUAGAAAAUCCAUCCAUGAUGACUGUUUACAUAAUUUGCUUUGACUGGAACUUUUCUCUGAACGUCUCAUCAAGCAGAGUAAUGUUAAUGUACAGAAUCAGGGGACAGUAGAGCCCCGAUGAAAACUAUCUGUUCGGCACUCAAAGCAAUGAGGCUGAGAGAAAGUUAAUCAGAAGGCCCCUCCUUUGAUGAAAUGACCCCAAGUAAAGUUGUGGAGAAGCUCAAUAUGUUUCCUCUGCAGCGGGCUGCAGUCCACCGACCACCCAGAACCAAUCUGAGGCUUAUGACGGUGGCAGGGGAGAAGAUACAUUAGGCCUCCCUCCAGUGGGUAAUGAAUGGAACUAAUAGGAAUAGGCAAUCCCAGUCCACACCACUAAUAUAUGUAGAAAAAUACUAGAUGCAGCCUCUGUUGUUUGUUCCUAAAGCACACUAUGAUGCCUGUUUUGAACACCACUUUCUCGUGCCAAAAUGUUUUGAUCAUUUUGAUCUUAAUAGAAAUUGCAACUGUUGUAACUGAAACUUAAUUUAAAGUGUAACUGUUUUUACAUGUUUUGAAAAUGUUAUUCUGUUAUGAAUAAGAUUCUUUCUAGCCAUGCUAGCAUUGAUGUUCUGGGGAUGACUGUAUGUUCGGUUGGUCCACCACCUAGUGAAAUAUCUCAACAUAUCUCAGAUGACACAAAACACAAAACUAACUAUUACUAAUAACCUACAAACUAUUAGAUUGCCAUGAAAGGUAAUACAGACAUUCAUGCUCCCCAGAGGAUAAGCUGUUAUAGCCUAUAUAUAUAUUGUAAUGUAACUUAUCUUAUCAUCAACUAGCAUCAUUGUCAGGCACAAAAUUUUAUGGAUAUAAAAAUGUACUUUAAAUUAUUACUUUUGGGCUUUAUUGAGCUCUGUGUAAUGUAAUAACAUGCCAAGAUGUUGGCUUAGUCCAUCAUCUCUGCACAGGGCCAGGUAUUUUUAAAUUCUGAACUUGAUUAUCUAGUUUAGACAACUAAAUUUUUUUUAAUCUGACGAGCAUGUCAGUUCUAUUUAAAAAAUGGACACCCUGAUUGUCAUUACAUUUACAUAUUAGUGUGUGGUAUCUGUCUCCAACUCCAAGCUACAUUACAUUGCUGGAGAUGCAAUUUACUGGACAUUUUAAUCAAAAUGUCUAGCAGGACCACGAGUCAACACUUACCAAUGUUGUACCUAUUAAGUCGCGCAGGACAUUGUUUCAGAUGGGAUUUGGAUAGAUCAUGUGGACAGUACUAUACCAAGAUACAUUAUCUUUAUUAAAGCUAUUGGAGUGGACACAUGAAAUAUCCACCCAAUAGGUAAUUAAUCCCACCCAGCUCAGGUAUGUAGGACCUUGUCGUCGUCUCAUCAUUACAAGAGACGCUUUCUCCGUCUCUUAAUUCAACAGCCAUCAUAUUAUUUUGAUUAUGUUCCACUAGGAGAGUUUUCAAGGCCUCCUCUUUCCCUUUGACCUUUUUGACCCAGGAGGGGAGGUGAGACUGUGGCGCCGACAGUCUCCUGCACAGAGAGCCUGGUUCUUUUCAGAUUCUCAGAUGGGAUCUCUAGGUGUCAAUUUGUUUUAUCCUCUUUAACAGAACACUGACUCCUCCACAGAUGUGAACGACACUCUACACUCAGGUUUUGGGAAAUGCUUGUUGUUCUACAAAAGAUGGGUUCAUAAUUAAGUGCCUUUUUAGUUGUAAAUCAGGAUACAUAGCCCUGAAAUGUGUUUACAUCUCUUUUGAACUGACAGGUCCACCUCCAGAGAGAAACUCCUCUGGAAUCCACAUCUGGUCUCCUGUUACUCCUUUCCCCCUUUCCUUUAAGGUGAUUUAUGAGAGGUCCAUGUACUAGCCCUGACAUUCCAAUAUACAUAGCAGGUCCAGCAUUUGCAGUGAUAUAGAUUUAGUUCUAAUUUAAUACUAUUGUAAAAUUUCAUCUCCUCCUAAUUAACAGAUUGCCACCCAGCAUGAGAAGGUCGCACAUGUAAUGUUUGUCUGAUGUUUCUGUCUUCAGAUUGGACUGAGUUACAAAAUCAUGUGUAAAAUGAAUGUUUGAUGGAGCCACAGUGCCACCUUUUGAUAAGAUUCUGGUAUAGUUGUAAAAGGUACUUUCAAAACAAACUUUGUUUUAUAAUUGUGUAUUAUUCCAAAUAGUAAACGCCUGACACAUAAUUUUUAUAACAAGGAUUAAACUAGCACUAUACGAAAUAUGUACAAUCCAUCAGUGCUGCUUUAUAUACAUGUUUGAUGGUUAAUGAUUUAAUGAUUUUAAUCAGCUCUACUUUUCCUUUACAUCAAGUGAUUUUGGUUAUGUUAUGUUAAAACAUGUGAACUAUGUAUUAAGUCAUGGUGGGUUCUGUGAACGGUGAAUUAUGAUCUCGAAACUUUAAAACACGAUAGGAGUAAGAUAAAGCUACGAAUAUCAAAAUAUCACCAGAGGAAGUGACGCGCGCGGUCAGCUCCUCUCGUCCAGUUCCGCCUCCAGAAUAAAAGAUAUAAGAGAUAGACUCUGGUCACUCCUUCUCUUCUGAUCUCUUCUAAACUUCGUUCUCUUCUUUUCUUCUUUCUAAGAUCCAUUCGUUAUUUACUCUCGUUCUUACUUUUAAUUUCCGUACUUUACUUCGUUUGCGACACGUGUUGGAUUUUUCUUCAAGUUAUAAAUUGCAGUGCUGAAGUACCUUUCAAGUACUUUUAUUUUGAAAGCUCAAGACACAAACGAAUUUCUUCUUUUAUAUUUUUGUAGUCUUAUCAUCAAGUAUUGUCACCUGAUUCACAGAAAGUGAAUUUAAUCUAAUUCUUGGAUUGAUUAACUACGGAGAAGUCGCCAGGCCAGCGUUUCAUCCUCCAGUUAUUUUUAAACAAGAAGCUGAAUUAGUUUACAAUCAAAGCUGAAGACCAACCACUUGACAUUAUUAUCCAGCGACUCUCUGCCUCCAACGCACUCAAGCGUAAAACUACGCGCUGGGCCUUUGAAUCGAAGGGCCACUGGUACCAGGGCCGAGACGCAACUUCCUUCGGCCUGUUGGAUCAGUGAUGCAGAGCCGCAGUUGAGCUAAAAGCCAAGGACCUGGAAGUUCCAUCUACAAACAAACCUCUCUCCUUCUCAGUUAAUUGUGUCUGGAGCAAGAGAAAACAAAUGGAGACAACAGCAGCAGAGAAAAAGAGCUGCAUCACCACAUCAAGAGAUUCAAGACAAAAAGUUUCCUCCCAAAAUAAAACAAGAUGAGUCUUGUCUUAUCUCCUCCCAGCGAGAAGGUGAGACAGAGAUAACGAGGAAGAGACACGAGGACGGAGGAGCCACAUCUGCCAAAUGAGGUUUCCUUGCUUCCACAGCGUCACACUUGUGGCUGUGCUGUCUCACAAAGGAAGCAUUGAGGACCUGACCCUCAGGCGUACUGACCACAACCAACUCCCCUACCUCGGGAGGACCGGAGCCCAGGCAGUCAUGACUCUGAUGGCGGAAGAAAGAAAGAAAAUUGAUGUAGAGGAAGAAGGUGACAGACACGACAUAAGGCCAGUCGGCUGGUGUCAUGACUACUCCGGCAAUUUGGGCGCAGGUGACGUGGAAGGAGGUGGCACAGUUCUUGUGUGAGCACUGGAUGCAGGCGCCGCGGUUCUGAUUGGCAUUCUUGCGAUGGCAAAACACACACUUCUGCAAUGAGAAGAGAAAAUAAAGAAUUGCCAGUUUGAAUUC
Dicentrarchus labrax (European seabass) is the source of this 7436-nucleotide long non-coding RNA. RefSeq lists it as uncharacterized. NCBI's taxonomy places the organism in Eukaryota, Metazoa, Chordata, Actinopteri, Moronidae. The transcript is spliced from 5 exons. The record is from RefSeq and is a predicted model, not a curated record.